Molecule: ribosomal RNA, 133 nt
Filed under: uncultured bacterium
Lineage: Bacteria
Description: partial 16S ribosomal RNA
Rfam family: Bacterial small subunit ribosomal RNA
Source: RNAcentral
GGGGAAUAUUGGUCAAUGGGCGAAAGCCUGAACCAGCAAUGCCGCGUGAGUGAUGAAGGCCUUCGGGUUGUAAAGCUCUGUCAGUGGGAACGAAUAAGCCGAUUAAUACUCGGUGAUGACGGUACCCACAAAG